CGGUUUCGCUGCGACAACUCCUCCCAGACGUCGCAGUGGAUCGGCCGAAGGUUCCUCCCACCUGAGGCCACCCAUACGCCCCCGCCGGUCCUCCCCCGGCGGGGGCGUUUC
This 111-nucleotide small RNA is filed under the name Aureimonas jatrophae. Its description in RNAcentral is "ar14". It matches the Rfam family "Alphaproteobacterial ar14". Rfam says of the family: Smr14C2 was renamed NfeR1 (Nodule Formation Efficiency RNA) highly expressed in salt stress and during the symbiotic interaction on legume roots. Lineage: Bacteria; Pseudomonadati; Pseudomonadota; Alphaproteobacteria; Hyphomicrobiales; Aurantimonadaceae. The record is from RNAcentral.